GAUGAAGAACGUAGCGAAAUGCGAUAAGUAAUGUGAAUUGCAGAAUCCAGUGAAUCAUCGAAUCUUUGAACGCACAUUGCGCCCGCCAGCAUUCUGGCGGGCAUGCCUGUUCGAGCGUCAUUUCAACCCUCGACCUCCCUUUGGGGAAGUCGGCGUUGGGGACCGGCAGCACACCGCCGGCCCUGAAAUGGAGUGGCGGCCCGUCCGCGGCGACCUCUGCGUAGUAAUCCAACUCGCACCGGAACCCCGACGCAGCCACGCCGUAAAACACCCAACUUCUGAACGUUGACCUCGAAUCAGGUAGGACUACCCGCUGAACUUAAGCAUAUCAAUAAGCGGAGG
This 342-nucleotide unclassified non-coding RNA is filed under the name soil metagenome. Its description in RNAcentral is "partial contains 5.8S ribosomal RNA, internal transcribed spacer 2, and large subunit ribosomal RNA". The stretch from base 1 to 120 matches the Rfam family "5.8S ribosomal RNA", at positions 35 to 154 of the family's 154-position model. The record is from RNAcentral.